This 249-nucleotide ribosomal RNA is filed under the name uncultured bacterium. RNAcentral's name for it is "partial 16S ribosomal RNA". It matches the Rfam family "Bacterial small subunit ribosomal RNA", at positions 15 to 266 of the family's 1533-position model. The record is from RNAcentral.
GAUCCUGGCUCAGAUUGAACGCUGGCGGCAGGCUUAACACAUGCAAGUCGAGCGGGGGAAGGUAGCUUGCUACUGGACCUAGCGGCGGACGGGUGAGUAAUGCUUAGGAAUCUGCCUAUUAGUGGGGGACAACAUUCCGAAAGGAAUGCUAAUACCGCAUACGUCCUACGGGAGAAAGCAGGGGACCUUCGGGCCUUGCGCUAAUAGAUGAGCCUAAGUCGGAUUAGCUAGUUGGUGGGGUAAAGGCCU